AGUGAACGCUGGCGGUAUGCCUAACACAUGCAAGUCGAACGGCAGCACAGUAAGAGCUUGCUCUUACGGGUGGCGAGUGGCGGACGGGUGAGGAAUACAUCGGAAUCUACUUUUUCGUGGGGGAUAACGAAGGGAAACUUACGCUAAUAUCGCAUACGACCUACGGGUGAAAGCAGGGGAUCUUCGGACCUGGCGCGAUUGAAUGAGCCGUUGUCGGGUUAGCUGGUUGGGGGGGUAAAGGCCCACCAAGGCGUAGAUCCGUAGCAGGGCUGAGAGGGGGAGCCGGCCCAAGUGGAUGUAGGGACGGGUCCGGAUCCUAAGGGGGGGCAGAGUGGGGGAGUAUGGAACAGUGGGGGAAAGCGUACACAGGCAUACCGCGUGGGUGAAGAAGGCCUUCGGGUUGUAAAGCCCUUUUGUUGGGAAAGAAAAGCAGCAGGUUAAUACCCCGCUGUUCUGACGGUACCCAAAGAAUAAGCACCGGCUAACUUCGUG
RNAcentral lists this ribosomal RNA (492 nucleotides) under uncultured bacterium. RNAcentral's name for it is "partial 16S ribosomal RNA". It matches the Rfam family "Bacterial small subunit ribosomal RNA", at positions 30 to 507 of the family's 1533-position model. The record is from RNAcentral.